This is a long non-coding RNA of Mastomys coucha (southern multimammate mouse), 401 nucleotides long. RefSeq lists it as uncharacterized. Lineage: Eukaryota; Metazoa; Chordata; Mammalia; Rodentia; Muridae. The record is from RefSeq and is a predicted model, not a curated record. The transcript is spliced from 3 exons.
GCCGUUGAUGCCAUUUUAUCACCAGGUUCCAGGCCGGGACAUCACUUUAUGCUUCGCACAUUGUGACUAAUUAGUCCAUUUGAGAUGCUGAUGGUGAUGACAAGAGUAAUAAAAUGCAACAAUAAGAGGCCAGCUGUGCCCUUCUGUGGGCCUGGAAGAAUUGGUCAUUUUGGAGAAGUUUACAGCUCCAGCAAUCACACAGUGUUUCUUCCAGAAAAUUCUCAUAGUUGAGGGGCGUACCAGUGAAGUUCAGCACCCAACAUCAUUACCACUGGACCUUCAAUGUCAAUAUCACCUCUUACGUAAAUAGCUUGGUCAUCUUGAGGAAUUUAUUCUGAUCAUGUGAACUCUUGAGAAGAUCAAAGUGCUGUUUGGAGCCUACAGAUUAAACUUUGAUAAUU